Rosa rugosa (rugosa rose) is the source of this 822-nucleotide long non-coding RNA. RefSeq lists it as uncharacterized. The transcript has 4 exons. The record is from RefSeq and is a predicted model, not a curated record. NCBI's taxonomy places the organism in Eukaryota, Viridiplantae, Streptophyta, Magnoliopsida, Rosales, Rosaceae.
UGUACUUAGUUCUAAACUCUAUGUUAGAGGGCAAAAGAGAAUUAAACUUUGAAAAAUUUCUCUUUGGGUCAGCCUCUCUUCCGCUCUCAACCCGCUUCUCUUGUGCAUCAGAUCAAUUAGAAACUAGUGUGGCGUUUGGGUAUUCAGAAUACCAAAGUCCCAAAUACAUGCAUCUUGUCUCUGGGUCAGAUCGGCUAUAACCUAGAUCUCGUCAUUUCAAUAUAAUCCAUCACAGAUCUGGUAUUUCUUUCUUCUCCAGAUUCUCCGCUCUAUCUAAGCUAGAUUUUGAUAUAGAGAGCUUCUUUUUGGAGAGUGAGAAACAGAGACGAGAGAUGGGUUCUGGUUCGAAAUUGGAAGGCACAUAAGCUCGCCGAUACGGCAAGACCCGUAAGAAGUCUUGAGUGUUUCUAGGGAUUCAAAGUCAUUCAACUGAUAAGGAAAUUAAAAAGGCGUAUCGGAAACUCCCUCUCAAGAGUCCAUUCCUUCAACUUUCUUGGUUUGGAUAUCAAGUGAACUGGCCCAUCAGCUUUGUUUCGACUCCUGGUGCAUUGAAAAUAUAUGCCGAGAUAUUCAGUUUUUUGAUACUAGUGAAACUGGCUUUGUUUUCAUUGACUGAUGUGUGGCGCCAAUUGAAGGGUUGAUGAAAUAAAAAUCACUAAUGCUUUACAAUAUGCAGCUAGUAUUGAGUACGUUAUAAGGUGGAGUACCAAUAUUAGUCUUUGGUCAAACUGGGGUUGCAUAAGUUGAUUCUCCAAAUGAGGCCCUUCCUCUUAAUUGCAGACCUAAUACUGGUGCUGCGCAGCUGACCAAAGAUAAAGUCAA